This 301-nucleotide ribosomal RNA is filed under the name uncultured bacterium. RNAcentral describes it as "partial 16S ribosomal RNA". It matches the Rfam family "Bacterial small subunit ribosomal RNA", at positions 509 to 807 of the family's 1533-position model. The record is from RNAcentral.
CAGUCGCCGCGGGAAUACGUAGGUGGCAAGCGUUGUCCGGAAUUAUUGGGCGUAAAGGGCUCGCAGGCGGUUUCUUAAGUCUGAUGUGAAAGCCCCCGGCUCAACCGGGGAGGGUCAUUGGAAACUGGGAAACUUGAGUGCAGAAGAGGAGAGUGGAAUUCCACGUGUAGCGGUGAAAUGCGUAGAGAUGUGGAGGAACACCAGUGGCGAAGGCGACUCUCUGGUCUGUAACUGACGCUGAGGAGCGAAAGCGUGGGGAGCGAACAGGAUUAGAUACCCCGGUAGUCCCUGUUUCUUAUAC